Molecule: non-coding RNA, 26 nt
Filed under: Homo sapiens (human)
Lineage: Eukaryota; Metazoa; Chordata; Mammalia; Primates; Hominidae
Source: RNAcentral
UGAUGCCUUAACCUAAUCACCGUACC